GAUGAACGCUGGCGGCGUGCCUAAUACAUGCAAGUCGAGCGAACAGACGAGGAGCUUGCUCCUCUGACGUUAGCGGCGGACGGGUGAGUAACACGUGGAUAACCUACCUAUAAGACUGGGAUAACUUCGGGAAACCGGAGCUAAUACCGGAUAAUAUAUUGAACCGCAUGGUUCAAUAGUGAAAGACGGUUUUGCUGUCACUUAUAGAUGGAUCCGCGCCGCAUUAGCUAGUUGGUAAGGUAACGGCUUACCAAGGCAACGAUGCGUAGCCGACCUGAGAGGGUGAUCGGCCACACUGGAACUGAGACACGGUCCAGACUCCUACGGGAGGCAGCAGUAGGGAAUCUUCCGCAAUGGGCGAAAGCUUGACGGAGCAACGCCGUGUGAGUGAUGAAGGUCUUCGGAUCGUAAAACUCUGUUAUUAGGGAAGAACAAAUGUGUAAGUAACUAUGCACGUCUUGACGGUACCUAAUCAGAAAGCCACGGCUAACUACGUG
This 497-nucleotide ribosomal RNA is filed under the name uncultured bacterium. RNAcentral describes it as "partial 16S ribosomal RNA". It matches the Rfam family "Bacterial small subunit ribosomal RNA", at positions 28 to 507 of the family's 1533-position model. The record is from RNAcentral.